UGGGGAAUUUUGGACAAUGGGCGAAAGCCUGAUCCAGCAAUGCCGCGUGUGUGAAGAAGGCCUUCGGGUUGUAAAGCACUUUUGUCCGGAAAGAAAUCCUUGGCUCUAAUACAGUCGGGGGAUGACGGUACCGGAAGAAUAAGCACCGGCUAACUACGUGCCAGCAGCCGCGGUAAUACGUAGGGUGCAAGCGUUAAUCGGAAUUACUGGGCGUAAAGCGUGCGCAGGCGGUUUGCUAAGACCGAUGUGAAAUCCCCGGGCUCAACCUGGGAACUGCAUUGGUGACUGGCAGGCUAGAGUAUGGCAGAGGGGGGUAGAAUUCCACGUGUAGCAGUGAAAAUGCGUAGAGAUGUGGAGGAAUACCGAUGGCGAAGGCAGCCCCCUGGGCCAAAUACUGACGCUCAUGCACGAAAAGCGUGGGGAGCAAAACAGGAUUAGAUACCCUGGUAGUCCACGCCCUAAAACGAUGUCAACUAGUUGUUGGGGAUUC
This 490-nucleotide ribosomal RNA is filed under the name uncultured bacterium. RNAcentral's name for it is "partial 16S ribosomal RNA". It matches the Rfam family "Bacterial small subunit ribosomal RNA", at positions 355 to 832 of the family's 1533-position model. The record is from RNAcentral.